UGAGCGGUGAGACCAUCGCCUAUCGCCA
RNAcentral lists this non-coding RNA (28 nucleotides) under Homo sapiens (human). The record is from RNAcentral. Lineage: Eukaryota; Metazoa; Chordata; Mammalia; Primates; Hominidae.